Long non-coding RNA from Cannabis sativa, 775 nucleotides. RefSeq lists it as uncharacterized. The transcript has 5 exons. The record is from RefSeq and is a predicted model, not a curated record. Lineage: Eukaryota; Viridiplantae; Streptophyta; Magnoliopsida; Rosales; Cannabaceae.
CCUAUUAUUCACUUACCCCCAAACAUCCGACUAUUCAUUUUCGAACAGUAGGCAUCCUAAGCUCUCAUGCGGUUUUGCUCUGAAGGGCUCGCGCAUCCUCAACUCUGAAGGGCUCGCGAUUUCGCUCACUGGCGUAGGUCUCCUCUCCCACCUUCAUCCAUUCCUUCCAUCAUCGACAUCUACAAUCUCGACGACGUCGUAACUGUCUCCCAGCUCCGUUCCACCAUCGCUUCUCAGAUCCGCAAGAACUCUCACUCCACCAAUCCCAAGCUUUUCAAUUGUGGUAGUAUCUUUUGAAGAAAUUGCUUGAACGCUAGCUUGGAAUUGAAGUUUCGAAAUGGAUAGAGAUUGGAGGAAGAUUAUCCAGCCGGAUAGAGUACAAUGUGGUUAUUAUGUUAUGAAAAUUAUCCAGAGUUUCAUGACGGUUGUUAAUCCUGCAAGUUUUUUGAAAAAUCAUUUCAAGUUAGACGCUCGCUAUAGUAACGAGGAGAUCAAUGUCGUACGGGAUGAGUGGGCCGAAUUUGUGAAGCCUUUGAUUAUAGAUUAAAUACUUAAGGUUACUAAACUUUUGUUAUAAUACAUGAGUAACAAGUUUUAUGAUUAUUGUUAUCUUUUGCAUAUGUUAUUAGUUUAUAUUUAGUUUACGAUAUACAUGGAAUUUAAGUUUUAGAAUCGAUUUUAUUAACAAUUUUGGUAUUGUGUGAUUAGUUAAUAGAAUCGAUUACUAAUUUUAUAUAAGUUUUAAAAAUAUUAUUUUAAGUUUUAUAUAAGUUAA